RNAcentral lists this ribosomal RNA (432 nucleotides) under uncultured bacterium. RNAcentral describes it as "partial 16S ribosomal RNA". It matches the Rfam family "Bacterial small subunit ribosomal RNA", at positions 29 to 507 of the family's 1533-position model. The record is from RNAcentral.
ACGAACGCUGGCGGCAUGCCUAACACAUGCAAGUCGAACGAGACCUUCGGGUCUAGUGGCGCACGGGUGCGUAACGCGUGGGAACCUGCCCUUAGGUUCGGAAUAACUCCCCGAAAGGGGUGCUAAUACCGGAUAAUGUCUUCGGACCAAAGAUUUAUCGCCUUUGGAUGGGCCCGCGUUGGAUUAGCUAGUUGGUAGGGUAAAAGCCUACCAAGGCGACGAUCCAUAGCUGGUCUGAGAGGAUGAUCAGCCACACUGGGACUGAGACACGGCCCAGACUCCUACGGGAGGCAGCAGUGGGGAAUAUUGGACAAUGGGCGAAAGGCUGAUCCAGCAAUGCCGCGUGAGUGAUGAAGGCCUUAGGGUUGUAAAGCUCUUUUACCCGGGAUGAUAAUGACAGUACCGGGAGAAUAAGCUCCGGCUAACUCCGUG